AUGGGAACGCGAAGAACCUUACCUAGACUUGACAUCUCCUGAAUAGUGUAGAGAUACAUGAAGCCCUUCGGGGCAGGAAGACAGGUGGUGCAUGGUUGUCGUCAGCUCGUGUCGUGAGAUGUUGGGUUAAGUCCCGCAACGAGCGCAACCCUUAUUACUAGUUGCUACCAUUAAGUUGAGCACUCUAGUGAGACUGCCCGGGUUAACCGGGAGGAAGGCGGGGAUGACGUCAAAUCAUCAUGCCCCUUAUGUCUAGGGCAACACACGUGCUACAAUGGUGAGUACAGAUAGAUGCGAUACCGCAAGGUGGAGCCAAACUCUAAAACUCAUCCCAGUUCGGAUUGUAGGCUGUAACUCGCCUACAUGAAGUUGGAGUUGCUAGUAAUCGCGAAUCAGAAUGUCGCGGUGAAUACGUUCCCGGGUCUUGUACACACCG
Molecule: ribosomal RNA, 436 nt
Filed under: uncultured bacterium
Lineage: Bacteria
Description: bacterial SSU rRNA
Rfam family: Bacterial small subunit ribosomal RNA
Source: RNAcentral